Molecule: ribosomal RNA, 1054 nt
Filed under: Dothideomycetes sp. genotype 173
Lineage: Eukaryota; Fungi; Ascomycota; Dothideomycetes
Description: eukaryotic LSU rRNA
Rfam family: Eukaryotic large subunit ribosomal RNA (bases 474-1054)
Source: RNAcentral
GGAUCAUUACAAGUGACCCCGGUCUUACCACCGGGAUGUUCAUAACCCUUUGUUGUCCGACUCUGUUGCCUCCGGGGCGACCCUGCCUUCGGGCGGGGGCUCCGGGUGGACACUUCAAACUCUUGCGUAACUUUGCAGUCUGAGUAAACUUAAUUAAUAAAUUAAAACUUUUAACAACGGAUCUCUUGGUUCUGGCAUCGAUGAAGAACGCAGCGAAAUGCGAUAAGUAAUGUGAAUUGCAGAAUUCAGUGAAUCAUCGAAUCUUUGAACGCACAUUGCGCCCCCUGGUAUUCCGGGGGGCAUGCCUGUUCGAGCGUCAUUUCACCACUCAAGCCUCGCUUGGUAUUGGGCAACGCGGUCCGCCGCGUGCCUCAAAUCGACCGGCUGGGUCUUCUGUCCCCUAAGCGUUGUGGAAACUAUUCGCUAAAGGGUGUUCGGGAGGCUACGCCGUAAAACAACCCCAUUUCUAAGGUUGACCUCGGAUCAGGUAGGGAUACCCGCUGAACUUAAGCAUAUCAAUAAGCGGAGGAAAAGAAACCAACAGGGAUUGCUCUAGUAACGGCGAGUGAAGCAGCAAUAGCUCAAAUUUGAAAUCUGGCGUCUUCGACGUCCGAGUUGUAAUUUGUAGAGGAUGCUUCUGAGUAACCACCGACCUAAGUUCCUUGGAACAGGACGUCAUAGAGGGUGAGAAUCCCGUAUGCGGUCGGAAAGGUGCUCUAUACGUAGCUCCUUCGACGAGUCGAGUUGUUUGGGAAUGCAGCUCUAAAUGGGAGGUAAAUUUCUUCUAAAGCUAAAUAUUGGCCAGAGACCGAUAGCGCACAAGUAGAGUGAUCGAAAGAUGAAAAGCACUUUGGAAAGAGAGUUAAAAAGCACGUGAAAUUGUUAAAAGGGAAGGGAUUGCAACCAGACUUGCUCGCGGUGUUCCGCCGGUCUUCUGACCGGUCUACUCGCCGCGUUGCAGGCCAGCAUCGUCUGGUGCCGCUGGAUAAGACUUGAGGAAUGUAGCUCCCUCGGGAGUGUUAUAGCCUCUUGUGAUGCAGCGAGCGCCGGGCGA